CCAUAAUCAUUUAUAUAGCGCAUUUUUUUUGGCAAAAAAUGGCUAUUAGAGGUCACUUUCUAGUCUAUAGA
RNAcentral lists this transfer RNA (71 nucleotides) under Elateroidea sp. 5 KM-2017. RNAcentral describes it as "tRNA-Pro". The record is from RNAcentral. Lineage: Eukaryota; Metazoa; Arthropoda; Insecta; Coleoptera.